GCCCAGACUCCUACGGGAGGCAGCAGUCGAGAAUCAUUCACAAUGGGGGAAACCCUGAUGGUGCGACGCCGCGUGGGGGAAUGAAGGUCUUCGGAUUGUAAACCCCUGUCAUGUGGGAGCAAAUUAAAAAGAUAGUACCACAAGAGGAAGAGACGGCUAACUCUGUGCCAGCAGCCGCGGUAAUACGGAGGAUGCGAGCGUUAUCCGGAUUUAUUGGGUUUAAAGGGUGCGUAGGCGGGAUGCCAAGUCAGCGGUAAAAAUGCGGUGCUCAACGCCGUCGAGCCGUUGAAACUGGCGUUCUUGAGUGGGCGAGAAGUAUGCGGAAUGCGUGGUGUAGCGGUGAAAUGCAUAGAUAUCACGCAGAACUCCGAUUGCGAAGGCAGCAUACCGGCGCCCUACUGACGCUGAGGCACGAAAGCGUGGGUAUCGAACAGGAUUAGAUACCCGAGUA
This 451-nucleotide ribosomal RNA is filed under the name uncultured bacterium. Its description in RNAcentral is "bacterial SSU rRNA". It matches the Rfam family "Bacterial small subunit ribosomal RNA", at positions 329 to 792 of the family's 1533-position model. The record is from RNAcentral.